UACAGAGGUCCCAAGCGUUGUUCGGAUUUACUGGGCGUAAAGGGAGCGUAGGUGGCAUUCUAAGUCUGAUGUGAAAGCUCUGAGCUUAACUCAGAAAUGGCAUUAGAUACUAGUUUGCUAGAGGAUUGGAGGGGAGAUUGGAAUUCUUGGUGUAGCAGUGAAAUGCGUAGAUAUCAAGAGGAACACCAGUGGCGAAGGCGAAUCUCUGGACAAUUCCUGACACUGAUGCUCGAAAGCUAGGGGAGCAAACGGG
Molecule: ribosomal RNA, 253 nt
Filed under: uncultured bacterium
Lineage: Bacteria
Description: partial 16S ribosomal RNA
Rfam family: Bacterial small subunit ribosomal RNA
Source: RNAcentral